RNAcentral lists this ribosomal RNA (583 nucleotides) under Scoloplos cf. armiger 'Malibu clade'. RNAcentral's name for it is "partial 16S ribosomal RNA". The stretch from base 1 to 500 matches the Rfam family "Bacterial large subunit ribosomal RNA", at positions 1939 to 2925 of the family's 2925-position model. Lineage: Eukaryota; Metazoa; Annelida; Polychaeta; Orbiniidae. The record is from RNAcentral.
CCCUGAACCGUGCUAAGGUAGCAUAAUCAUUUGCCUCUUAAUUGGUGGCUAGUAUGAAAGGACAAACGAGAGCAUAGCUGUCUCUUACUUACAAACCUAAAAUUAACUUUCGGGUGAAAAGGCCCGAAUUUUUUUAUAAGACAAGAAGACCCUGUCAAGCUUUACUAGGCCUAUUUGCAACCAGAAAUUUUUAACUAUCUGACUUACAUUUACUAAUAGUUUAGUUGGGGCGACUAAGGACCAAAUAUAGCGUCCUCCCAAAUGCCAAGGAUAAUAAUCCCACUAAUCUGAUCCCAUAAAGGAUAAAGAGACAAGCUACUGCAGGGAUAACAGGCUAAUUUUUCCCGAGAGUCCAAAUCGAAGGAAAAGUUUGGCACCUCGAUGUUGGCUUAAGAUUAUAUGGUAGGUUUGUUCACCCUUUAAAAUCUUACAUGAGCUGAGUUCAGACCGGCGUAAGCCAGGUCAGAUUCUAUCUAUAAAAUACAAAACAAAUUCCCAUUCAAUUGUACGAAAGGAUCCUGAAUGGCUAUUCAAUAGAACACAAAUCAAAUAAUAACCCUCUCCCUAAACACCAAAAUUACUC